Molecule: ribosomal RNA, 253 nt
Filed under: uncultured bacterium
Lineage: Bacteria
Description: partial 16S ribosomal RNA
Rfam family: Bacterial small subunit ribosomal RNA
Source: RNAcentral
UACGAAUCGUCCUAACGUUGUUCGGAUUUACUGGGUUUAAAGGGUGCGUAGGCGGUGCGUUAAGUCGGUGGUGAAAUACUUUGGCUCAACCAGAGAAUUGCCGUUGAAACUAGCGCGCUCGAGGGAGGUAGAGGUGCAUGGAACUUCCGGUGGAGCGGUGAAAUGCGUUGAUAUCGGAAGGAACACCUGUGGCGAAAGCGAUGCACUGGACCUCUUCUGACGCUGAGGCACGAAAGCCAGGGGAGCGAACGGG